GUAGCUCAGGUGGUUAGAGCGUUCGCCUGAUAAGCGAGAGGUCGGUGGUUCGAGUCCACUC
This 61-nucleotide transfer RNA is filed under the name Vibrio parahaemolyticus 3631. Its description in RNAcentral is "tRNA-Ile". It matches the Rfam family "tRNA", at positions 7 to 64 of the family's 71-position model. Rfam says of the family: Transfer RNA (tRNA) molecules are approximately 80 nucleotides in length. Their secondary structure includes four short double-helical elements and three loops (D, anti-codon, and T loops). Lineage: Bacteria; Pseudomonadati; Pseudomonadota; Gammaproteobacteria; Vibrionales; Vibrionaceae. The record is from RNAcentral.